Molecule: unclassified non-coding RNA, 1374 nt
Filed under: uncultured Neocallimastigales
Lineage: Eukaryota; Fungi; Neocallimastigomycota; Neocallimastigomycetes; Neocallimastigales
Description: partial contains small subunit ribosomal RNA, internal transcribed spacer 1, 5.8S ribosomal RNA, internal transcribed spacer 2, and large subunit ribosomal RNA
Rfam family: Eukaryotic large subunit ribosomal RNA (bases 617-1374)
Source: RNAcentral
UUUCCGUAGGUGAACCUGCGGAAGGAUCAUUAAAAAAUAUCACAUUUGUUUGUGAUUUAAUAAUCAUCCUACCCUUUGUGAAUUUGUUUUUGUUUGAAAUUUAUGUUGUCUAUCCCUGGAUUAUGAAAGAAAAGUUGUAAAAGACUUUUUUUUCAUUCUAGGGAAUAGGCUUUCAUAGACAUUUUUUUAAAUUAAACUUUUUGUAUUCAUUUGUCUAAAAUUUAUUUUUAAAUAAUUUAAAAACAACUUUUGACAAUGGAUCUCUUGGUUCUCGCAACGAUGAAGAACGCAGCAAAAUGCGAUAAGUAAUGUGAAUUGCAGAAUACGUGAAUCAUCAAAUUUUCGAACGCAUAUUGCACUUUUUUAGUUUACUAAAAAAGUAUGUCUGUUUGAGUAUCAGUAAAAUAUUCUCAUAAAAACUAUUGUUUUUAUGGUUAUGAGUGUUUUUACAACGAUAACAAGUUGUUUCACUUUAAAUUGAUUUUUUUAAUAAGCCAAUUUGGUUUUAUUUUUAAAAUUGGAUAAAAUUUUCCCGUAAAAAGGAAUAAACUUUUCAGUUUUAAAGUUAAAACUUAAAUUGACCUACAAAAAAGGAAAUUUAAUUAUAAAACUAACUUGAUCUCAAAUCAGAUAAGAGUACCCGCUGAACUUAAGCAUAUCAAUAAGCGGAGGAAAAGAAACUAACAAGGAUUCCCUUAGUAACGGCGAGUGAAGCGGGAAGAGCUCAAAUUUGAAAUCUUCAAGGUUCUACCUUGACGAAUUGUAGUUUAAAGAAGUGUUUUCUGUUAGUGGAGUGGCAAAAGUUCUUUGGAAUAGGACAUCAUAGAGGGUGAGAAUCCCGUAUUUGGUCAUUCCUUCUAGCUUUGUGAUACACUUUCAAAGAGUCGGAUUGUUUGGGAAUGCAGUCCAAAAUGGGUGGCAAAUUUCAUCUAAAGCUAAAUAUUGGCGAGAGACCGAUAGCGAACAAGUACCGUGAGGGAAAGAUGAAAAGAACUUUGAAAAGAGAGUUAAACAGUACGUGAAAUUGUCAAAAGGGAAGCGUUUGACACCAGUGUUGUUUUUCCGAAAAUCAAUUAUAAAUGUUUUGUUUCUGAGGAGUGAUGACUUCAUCGGCUUCCUUCUCUCUUCACGAAACUUUUGUAAUGCACUUUUCGGUUAACAAGUCAACAUCAAUUUCUUUUGUUGUAAAAGAGUAUUCGGAAGGUGGCUUUCAUUUCGGAGAAAGUGUUUAUAGCCCUAUACUUCUACAAUCGGAGAGAUUGAGGUCUGCAGCGUAGAUCCUUCGGGGUUAGAUACACUUGUGCUAAGUUAUAGCUUUUCAUAGACAACUUGUUGACUAUGUUUAGUCUUGUAGCUUACUCGCUUGUGCUAUUU